Molecule: ribosomal RNA, 307 nt
Filed under: uncultured bacterium
Lineage: Bacteria
Description: bacterial SSU rRNA
Rfam family: Bacterial small subunit ribosomal RNA
Source: RNAcentral
GACGAACGCUGGCGGCGUGCUUAACACAUGCAAGUCGAACGAUGAAACUCUUCGGAGUGGAUUAGUGGCGAACGGGUGCGUAACACGUGGGCAAUCUGCCCUGUACUUUGGGAUAAGCCUUGGAAACGGGGUCUAAUACCGGAUAUCACUUCUCUGGGCAUCCAGGGUUGUUGAAAGUUCUGGCGGUACAGGAUGAGCCCGCGGCCUAUCAGCUUGUUGGUGGGGUAAUGGCCUACCAAGGCGACGACGGGUAGCCGGCCUGAGAGGGUGACCGGCCACACUGGGACUGAGACACGGCCCAGACUCC